RNAcentral lists this ribosomal RNA (440 nucleotides) under uncultured bacterium. Its description in RNAcentral is "partial 16S ribosomal RNA". It matches the Rfam family "Bacterial small subunit ribosomal RNA", at positions 338 to 795 of the family's 1533-position model. The record is from RNAcentral.
CCUACGGGAGGCAGCAGUAGGGAAUAUUGCUCAAUGGGGGAAACCCUGAAGCAGCAACGCCGCGUGGAGGAUGAAGGUUUUCGGAUUGUAAACUCCUUUUGUUAGAGAAGAUAAUGACGGUAUCUAACGAAUAAGCACCGGCUAACUCCGUGCCAGCAGCCGCGGUAAUACGGAGGGUGCAAGCGUUACUCGGAAUCACUGGGCGUAAAGAGCGCGUAGGCGGGAUAGCAAGUCAGAUGUGAAAUCCUAUGGCUUAACCAUAGAACUGCAUUUGAAACUGUUAUUCUAGAGUAUGGGAGAGGUAGGUGGAAUUCUUGGUGUAGGGGUAAAAUCCGUAGAGAUCAAGAGGAAUACUCAUUGCGAAGGCAGCAUGCCGGCUCCACACUGACGCUGAGGCACGAAAGCGUGGGUAUCGAACAGGAUUAGAUACCCUGGUAGUC